Molecule: ribosomal RNA, 497 nt
Filed under: uncultured bacterium
Lineage: Bacteria
Description: partial 16S ribosomal RNA
Rfam family: Bacterial small subunit ribosomal RNA
Source: RNAcentral
GACGAACGCUGGCGGCGUGCCUAAUACAUGCAAGUUGAGCGAUGAAGAUUGGUGCUUGCACCAAUUUGAAGAGCAGCGAACGGGUGAGUAACGCGUGGGGAAUCUGCCUUUGAGCGGGGGACAACAUUUGGAAACGAAUGCUAAUACCGCAUAAUAACUUUAAACAUAAGUUUUAAGUUUGAAAGAUGCAAUUGCAUCACUCAAAGAUGAUCCCGCGUUGUAUUAGCUAGUUGGUGAGGUAAAGGCUCACCAAGGCGAUGAUACAUAGCCGACCUGAGAGGGUGAUCGGCCACAUUGGGACUGAGACACGGCCCAAACUCCCACGGGAGGCAGCAGUAGGGAAUCUUCGGCAAUGGACGAAAGUCUGACCGAGCAACGCCGCGUGAGUGAAGAAGGUUUUCGGAUCGUAAAACUCUGUUGGUAGAGAAGAACGUUGGUGAGAGUGGAAAGCUCAUCAAGUGACGGUAACUACCCAGAAAGGGACGGCUAACUACGUG